AGAGCAGGAAAAACUCAGCUCCAGUCUCCAAACUACUCUAUGGAACACAGCAGCAGUGCAACCCAGCCCUGCCUUCAGGGACACUGCUUCCCUGGGCAUGAACUUAGCACCUGGGAAGGGGACACCACCAUUUGCACUGAGUACUGUCAUCACUCUGAAUCACACUAUGGCAUCAGAAGAGAGUCCCUCUGAGAAACCUGCCUGUCUCCACAGGACCCUGGGGUGCACAAAGCCCCUUGGUGGCUGGGACCAAGUGUUAACCAUCUCCCUGCAGCAGAAGUUGUUCAGCCAGGUUUGUGGCUCUGUGAUCUACCCUCCCCCAAGGGUCUUUUCCAGAGGACAGCAGGAGGACAGAAGUGCACCAGGCUGCUGGCUCAGCCCAAAACAAGACUUAGCUCAUACAAGUUUGUUCCUGCUGGCCAAGGGCACCUGUUCCAGUCAUUCCACUCUUGGUCCCUCCUACAGUUUAGGUGAAAAGGCACAACAAAGGAUUCAGUCCUCAGCAGACAUCAAAGAUGAUUUCUGCUAUUCUGCCCUGAGCAUGUAAUCCAAGUUAUAAUUCAGAAUGCAAUAUAGAUGCUUUCAUUACUGCAAUGUGUGAACAAUAAUUUGACAUGCUAAGUUUAACCUUCUCUUUUUGUGCUCAUAUCCUAAUAUUUGCUUUUUCUUCAUAGUGAAACAUUAGUGAAGACUUCUUUGGGAAGAGAUGUGCAGCACCAAAAAGACCUCAGUGGCGGUGUCAAUGGAGGGUGGUAGAAAUACUUUUGGCAGUGUUGUCCUAGUUCUGUUCCCAUUUCCAGGCUAGUACAGGGGUUGUAUCCUGCUUCCAGCAGAUGCACUGUCCUGGUGCAACAUGGAAGGACUUGGAAACCCACAUGUGUUCAGAGGUGGCACCAAGGCAGUUUGUCAACAGCACAGAGAAGGGCUGUCAUGGUGAAAAGAGUGAUUUCAGAGAGGACAUGGCUCAAGGCUGGCAGGAGGCACAGUUCCUACAGCUCCUACCAGAAGCCUGUGAGCCACCACUGACCCAGAAACAGCAUUUCCCUUGGCAGGACCAAAAAGGCUGCUUGCCCCAGCACACCUGAUGGUGGGUUUGUCCUUAUGCACUACUGUUCUUUCUGCUCUGUGGCUGGAAAAAAACCUAGGCAUAAUUUGCCCACUGCUUUCCACCUGCUUGGGCAGCAGUUAACAACAAUCAUUAAUUAUUAAGGCUAGAUAAUAAUUCAGUCCCAAAUAUUGACAACUGUCAGUAUGUCUCACAGGACUAGAAUUAUAAGGAGUUUUUUUCAGUUUCUAGUUGAAGCGUGAAGAAAACAAAUUUCUCUUUUCCAUUUCAUUUUUCUACUGGUAGUGGGUUAUAAUUCAGGGCAAAAUGAGGAGAGAGGUUCAAUCAGGAAAUGUGACAAGUAUUCUGAGCACAGCUGGGUCUUGGCUUUGAGUCUAUCUUUAGUAUUAAACAGGCUUGAGCUUGUCUCCCACAAACCAUGUGGGUGGCUCUGGCUGUUCUGGGGCUGAAAUGGAGACAGUUGUUUGUCAUCGCUCCUGCUCUUCCAACACUUUCUCUGAUUCUUCCCAAAAUGAUUUGCCCAACACCAGACUAGCAGCCAGCUGCCUCUGAAGGGGACAUCCUUGUCCUGCCUAUCCAAAGCCAGCUGACUGCUUCUCCUGCUUCCCUUUGUGGCACACCGGCUAACCCUUCAGAGACCCAGCUCAAUCCCCUAAGCUGGUAGAAAACCAACCCUCCAAAAGUGGUGGGAAUGAUCUACUGGUGGAUUAGCAAACUGAUUCAAGUGCUCCAAGGGUUCUGUUUAAUUUAUGUUAGCUGUGUUUUAACAAGCUCAAGAAAGUCAAACCAAUGGAACAGUCCUUCCCUCAUGAAGGGGCACAGGAGAACUAAAAAGUCUAAAAAGUCUAAAGAGUCUAAAAAGUUGUUUGGUGAACAGCUCUCUCAGGACAAACUCAUGUAAAUAAAUUAAUUUUCUGGCUUGGAAACUUAUCACCAUCUACAAAUAUCAAUGCUAAGACCUAGUUACUAUAGUCCUUUCCUUUUUCCUGUCUAGAUAUCAGUAUUUCGUCAUAUUUUUGCCUUUUUCUUCUGUCUUCUGUUUUGGUGUUUCUCUCUUUUUAUUUUUACAUUUUUAUUUAAAAUGCAGAUGUCCCUUGGCACAAUGCAGUGAAAGAUUUAGCAACUAGAAUAAAUAAGGUAAAUAAUUACCCCAUCUAUUGUGUUUAUGUCAACUUUAUGUGAUAACCUUUAUUGUUCAUCUUCUGUAACAAAUCACUGUUAAUGUUCACUUUAGUAUUCCCCCUGUAUUGCUCACCACUUAAAUCUAAUUUAGUAUAUUCAGAUAAAAUAUCUAGGGAUGUUAGAGAAAAUGAUUAAUCAAUUAAUUGGAAAGAAGUGCAUUUGACUGUGGAGCCGCAUGAGUGAGCAAGUGGUUAGUCCGGUUACGUCAACUUUUGGUACUUGUCUUACUCUUUCCUGCAAGAGGAGGAAAACUGUUGGGAUGAGUUUGUGCUGCAUCUCCCAGAACAAAACUCUAGGCUGCCUGGCAUUCUAGGGUCAGUUUGGAGGCUCAGCUCAACCCAGGGUGGUAAAAUGCCUUUUACUCUCAGGAAUUGCUGCAGAACUGUACAAAAGUUAAACCAGAGAAUACUCCUGGGGAGGAAACACUGAUGGAGUCUUAGAGCUGAGGCAUGCUCCAGGCAGCUGUAGGCACUCAGACAGCCCUGUCUCACAGGUCCUGCUACAACCCUUGUGUCCCAUAAACCUGUCAAGCCACCAACAAGCAAUGUCACCACUCUGAAGUCUCCCCAUAAGAGCGCUCUUGAGGGACCAUGAGUUCUUUGGAGAAGUUCACUCAGGCUGAAGCUGCAUGAGAACAGCUCUAGCAGGUUUCAGCUUCUUCUUGCAGCUCAGUCUGAGAUAUUGCAAUGGAUGCCAUUACUCUCUUGGCUCUCUAUCACAGUCUUUAGGAUAUUUAUCUAUGCUACUCUUCUUAUUUCAAAGACGGCGAAUUAAAGCACUUCAGAAGUACAUAUACAAGUUAGAGGUGAGGUUGAUGGGAAUUGGAUGUCUGACACUUCUCUGGCCAUAAAAAUAGGAUUAUCCCACUCCUCAGUUACCCUUAGAAAUCUAGUCUGGACAAUCCAAAUUCCAAAUUUUGGACAUGUAAAUGCAUCACUCCUACCAUCCCACAGCUACAAUGUACCACAAAAGGCUGAUAGGUUUCCAUUAAGAGGCAUUUGUAAAGCUUCUUCAGAGCUCUGAAAUUAGAGUGUAAGGGUGCUAAAUUGGAAAGAACAUGAAUAUAUUUGUAAAUAGGAGAAAGGAUGACUUUUCAACUCACAUAGGAAAUUCAUGGCAAAACAAGGGCUCACAUGUGAGCAACCUGGUCUAGUGAAAGGUGUCCCUGCGUACCCACUGUAGGGGGCUUGUAACCUUAAGGUCCUUCCAACCAAUGCUAUUCUAUGAUUUUAUGAUCCCAUGAUCUACAGCUUGUAAGGAGCAGGUUAAUACCUUAAUUGCUGUAUUAUCAUCUCACUUCACUAGUGGAAGCACUUGGUGUAGAGCAUGGAAAAAUUAAAAACUUGUCAUAUUCCCUAAGGAAAAAUCCCCAUGCAAUUUAAUAAGGACAGAUACAAUUUUCAAUAACCUUUCAUGCUUUUAGGUAGAGGUUUAAUGGCUUACCCCAUUCCCAUCCACUCUGUAGGACUUUUCCAGAAUAAUUCCAAUAAUAACGCAACAGCAAUUGUACCAUGCAGCUGUAAAAUUACCAUUUAUAGUACAAAUAUAUAAUAAAUAAAAUAAACCAUAAGCAUACAAUGAAUUUAUAGGUUUUACUGCACUAUGGUGCACACGCAUCAAUAAAUCCUGAUAAUAAGGUUUUCAAAAGUGGAAUUUCAUUGGAAUUAUUUUAUAUCAUGCCAUAUAAUUAGUGUUAGAGACAAGGUUAUGUUUUGCAAGGAAGGGACAAAUAAAACUGUCAAAGUGUUAUUUUAAUAGUCCUAAACCUUUCAUGGAACAUUGUGGUACUAGUAAUAUUAUAAUA
This is a non-coding RNA of Zonotrichia albicollis (white-throated sparrow), 4052 nucleotides long. The record is from RefSeq and is a predicted model, not a curated record. NCBI's taxonomy places the organism in Eukaryota, Metazoa, Chordata, Aves, Passeriformes, Passerellidae.